RNAcentral lists this ribosomal RNA (485 nucleotides) under uncultured Microbacteriaceae bacterium. Its description in RNAcentral is "partial 16S ribosomal RNA". Lineage: Bacteria; Bacillati; Actinomycetota; Actinomycetes; Micrococcales; Microbacteriaceae. The record is from RNAcentral.
CACGUAGUUAGCCGGUGCUUUUUCUGCAGGUACCGUCACUUUCGCUUCUUCCCUACUAAAAGAGGUUUACAACCCGAAGGCCGUCAUCCUUCACGCGGCGUUGCUGCAUCAGGCUUUCGCCCAUUGUGCAAUAUUCCCCACUGCUGCCUCCCGUAGGAGUCUGGGCCGUGUCUCAGUCCCAGUGUGGCCGGUCACCCUCUCAGGCCGGCUACCCGUCGUCGCCUUGGUGAGCCAUUACCUCACCAACUAGCUGAUAGGCCGCGAGUCCAUCCUUGACCAAAAUUCUUUCCAACUCCUAGCCAUGCGGCUGAAGCUCGUAUCCGGUAUUAGACGCCAUUUCUAGCGCUUAUCCCAGAGUCAAGGGCAGGUUACUCACGUGUUACUCACCCGUUCGCCACUAAUUCCUGGAGCAAGCUCCAGUUCAUCGUUCGACUUGCAUGUGUUAAGCACGCCGCCAGCGUGUCCUCGAGCACGGAGUCAACUAC